GUCACUUACCAACCUUUUCGCUAAGAUCAAGUGUAGUAUCUGUUCUUACCAAUUUAAUAUCUCAUAUAUCCUUUAUCUGAGAACAUUAUAUUAAAUGGAUUUUUGGAGCUAGAGUAUGGAAUAGGAGCUUGCUCUGUCCACUCCAUGCCUCCAUCCAGUAUUGCAGUACUUCUGGGGACAGUGCAUUUAAA
Phyllostomus discolor (pale spear-nosed bat) is the source of this 191-nucleotide small nuclear RNA. RefSeq annotates it as U2 spliceosomal RNA. The transcript has a single exon. Lineage: Eukaryota; Metazoa; Chordata; Mammalia; Chiroptera; Phyllostomidae. The record is from RefSeq and is a predicted model, not a curated record.